UCUAGACAAAGAUUCUGCCUGCUGACAUU
RNAcentral lists this non-coding RNA (29 nucleotides) under Rattus norvegicus (Norway rat). The record is from RNAcentral. Lineage: Eukaryota; Metazoa; Chordata; Mammalia; Rodentia; Muridae.